AGAUUGAACGCUGGCGGAAUGCUUUACACAUGCAAGUCGAACGGCAGCACGGGACUCAGGCAACUGAGCCCUGGUGGCGAGUGGCGAACGGGUGAGUAACAUAUCGGAACGUACCCAGUCGUGGGGGAUAACUCUCCGAAAGGAGAGCUAAUACCGCAUACGUCCUGAGGGAGAAAGCGGGGGACCUGCAAGGGCCUCGCGCGAUUGGAGCGGCCGAUAGUCGGAUUAGCUAGUUGGUGGGGUAAAGGCUCACCAAGGCGACGAUCCGUAGCGGGUCUGAGAGGACGACCCGCCACACUGGAACUGAGACACGGUCCAGACUCCUACGGGAGGCAGCAGUGGGGAAUUUUGGACAAGUGGGGGACAACCCGUGAGUCCAGCCAUUCCGCGUGAGUGAGAAGGCCUUGGUAGUAAGCUCUUUCAGCAGGAACGAACGGUACGGUACGUUUAAUAAGUACGGACUAA
This 465-nucleotide ribosomal RNA is filed under the name uncultured soil bacterium. RNAcentral describes it as "bacterial SSU rRNA". It matches the Rfam family "Bacterial small subunit ribosomal RNA", at positions 26 to 500 of the family's 1533-position model. The record is from RNAcentral.